AGCUUUGCGCAGUAGCAGUAUCGUAGGUUAUGAGGUUUACCCGAGGCACAAUUAUUGUUAGUUGAAAACUUUACCCAAUACCCUGCCUUAGUUAAGUAUACUCGGCUGUGGCACUUUUUGAUUGGCAAUUAUUUGU
This is a small nuclear RNA of Phyllopteryx taeniolatus (common seadragon), 136 nucleotides long. RefSeq annotates it as U4 spliceosomal RNA. The record is from RefSeq and is a predicted model, not a curated record. Lineage: Eukaryota; Metazoa; Chordata; Actinopteri; Syngnathiformes; Syngnathidae. The transcript has a single exon.